UAAUCAGACUAUAGCAUGCGAUGCUGUGGCUGUACUAUUUGUUUUGCUUGUUUCUUGGCUGAGAAGGUGUGUAUAUACUUGAGAAAGAAUGCAUAGGUGUGUACACAGACGCACACCUAUGGGUACAUAUGUUUGCACUCACCCUCUUUGAAGUUCUGGUUGUUUGGAGAAACGUACACCCUUGUCUUUGUUUCAGAAAAACCCCAGAGAUAGCACAGCUGAAAGCACUGUGAAAUCUUGCAUUCUUGUCCUAGCUGCUGCCAGAAAAAACAAGCCUUUUAUACUUGAGGAGGCUCGAGAUGUUUUCUUGCCAGUUGCGAGUCCUACUUCUCCGAGUAAAAGAGAGGAAGUAAUGUCUGUGAAACAAGCUUUUUUUUUUCUGACAGACAGCAUGCAGGCAGCUCUCCUGGGCUCUGCCAAUCUGUAAGUAAUUAAAGUUCAUUUGUUGGCAAGGAGUCAUCUCUCGGACUAAUAAGGAAAAUCAAAAUAGGUGGUGCAGUGGCUAUCUCCAGAGGAGAGAGUUUUGAGUGCAAAGUAAAAUGGGGCUGGAGAAGAAACUGGGUUAUAUGCCUCUGAACAAACCGUCUCCCUUCAGAAUAAGAUUAAUUUGAAAUCACCGUUCUAGUUCUUGUAUUGAAGAUGGUUUAAUGCACCCAGAGCUAUUUGGCCCUGAGGAUGAAUUCCUACAAUUAAGUGUUUAUGAUUGAAAGUGCUGCCAUGGAAAGCAGACAGAUGAAUAUCAUUUCAGGAGUACUGCGAAUCAUUAAGAGAGUAGUAGAACCUUUUCCUGGGCUCGAGCCACUUUUAAACUUCAGGCUAAGGCUAUUGUGGACUUCAGCGUAAGGCCUGACGUGUUGCUACACCUAGGGGUUUGAAUAACAAGGUAGUCGAUGGGCAUCAAUGCGUUCUUAUGAUUUUAAACUUCUUAACAGUCAGUGAAAAUAUUCAGCCUGUGGCAUGUGUGUAUGGUGCUCACCUCAAAUAUGUUUUCCAGAUCGGUGCAUUCAGUGUUAGUGUCGGGAAAUGAACCUGACCUGCCUCCGAUGCUGCUUUUGGCUGGCGACCGAGGUGUCUGCUUUCCCUGCCGCCUCACGGGGAGGCUGGGCACGGAGCAUCCCACAGCCCGACCAGGCUGCGAGGAGACCUGCUGGCUGCCAGCUGCCGACUUGUGCCUGUCCUCUGCCUCGGGAAGGCUCCAGGCAUCUCGACUGACAUGUUAGGAGCCACCUGAAGCACAGGCCAGACGGACAGACCGGCGUCUGGGGGCUCAGCAGCGUUACCAGCAGGCUGCUCUUCCUCCUUGCGGGAAGCACACGGGUCCGCAGCUGUCCUCCCCUGGCCGCCGCCGGCCCGUUCCCAGGAGGGCUGCCCCUCCACGAGCAGCUUUGGUGGCCAGAGCAGUGGCAGGCAAAAUCGGACGGGCUGCUUGAAGCAGUUUCUGGCUCCCCUCACCCUGUACCUGAGCCACCCGUGCUGCCUGCCGGCAGCAGGGACGGGAGAUUAACGCUCGCAUCUCCCCCCGAGCAGCUCCAGCUCUCGGUGCGAGGUGUGGGCACCAUCCCCAGCUGCCGCGGGCUCAGCGCUGGGUCCCUGGGGAGGGGGCACAGGGGGCUCAUUCUGCCCCAGGGCUGGGGGCGAGGGCAGCCGCCCCGCCAUCUGACUCCAAUCCCGAGCCGUAUGUGACUCGAAGUCCUUAGAUGCCCUCUGCUGCCAUGCACCAGAAUUAACAGAUGGCUCUGCGUAACCAGACUCAGAUUUGUGGAGCUUCGUUAUUAUCUCCGUUUUUGUAAACGAAUGGGGGAGGGGAAAUAAAAUCCGGAAUUAUCACAGAACAGGCAAAGCUUUGUCAAGUUUAGCUUCAGGCUGGGAGUCUCUUCUGCCUUUCAGUGCCACUGUCCUGAACUUUAAAAUUUUAGCAUUACUUUUAGCUUUCUCUUCAGAGCUCACUUCUCUGAUAACUGAUAGAUAAGCAGGUCCCUCUGGGAAUUAACUUGGCCCAGAGAGACGCCCAGCAGAGUUUUUCCCCGUCAUUUCAGGCCCCAUCGUGCCAAAUGGAAGGAGGCUGCAAAACCUGCCGCUGUGGUCAGGCUUUGUUCGGGCAGGGGCUAAGGGGUGGUUCGGCUUCUGGCUGCCUCUUUUGCAUGAGACAGGCCAGCAUGCAGGAGUCUGCGUCUAUAUGGAACAAGAGUGAUGUUUCUGCCCCACCUACUUGCCAGUGUUAGGACAGUUUUUGUGUGCUGGCAGGCACACAGCAAUCCCAAAUCGAACACAGCUAAUCCCGGAGGGAAUCCCCCAACAGGCUCCAAGAGUAGAGUAGUUUUGCCGUGCAUGUGCUUUCGCUGUCUUUGUUACACCAGCUCCCGUUCCCUCCCCUGAGGAAAACCCAGGCGAGCACUUCUAAUUCCCCAGCCCGGUUCCUGACACAGAUGUGAGCGAGCAGGUUUGGUCUGUAUGAAGUCUGCAGCCCCCGUUUGUGCACGUUUCUGAAGCUGCCUUACUUCUCCCGAGGCCAGCCUGUUUGCUGUAGGGGGCUGGCAGCGGCACGCAGGCGGCACGGCGGAGCAGCGGCUGCUCUCCGGUGGGACAGAACAGGAGGGGAUGGGAUGGACGGGAUGGGACGGGACGGGACGGGACGGGAUGGGAUGGGACACACGACCGCAGGACCCGCUGCAGGUGGGCGAGGGGUGUGGGGGGGAUGUGCAGGAUCCUCUGCCAGGCUGGCGGAAAGAGAAAGCCAGCGUGCAGCGGCAGGGCGAGCUCUCGCGCUACGCUCCCUUUUCCCUCCCGCACUCCCCUUUUAGCCACCCCGGUGCAGAAUAUGCUGCCUACAUUGUUCAGGAGAUUUCUUUUUUCUUUUUCUUUUUUUUUUUUUUUCUUUUUCUUUUUCUUUUUCUUUUUUUCUUUUUCCAGAACACAAUCUCAAGCUCACAGAAGUCCGCAGCAAAGUCUUGCUGUGAAUGGGCUCUUUGUUCCGUGAGACUGUUUCUGAAGACUCCUGGCUCUCUGUUCGUCUUUGCAUACGAGGCUGAAGCACAAAAUUGUCCAUAUGCUUUUGUUUUCAGCACGUUCGCGUCCUCAUAACUUCCCCUUUCUCACAGAAACGUGUGAAGCUCUCUGGUAGGUGUGCUGUAUAUCGUCACGGUGGAAAACCUGCGAAGCUGUGCUGAUUUAUACCACCUGACAGCACUCUCCGUAGCGUGUAUUUUUGCUAAAUCCAUGUUUUUCCAAUUUCUUCAUGCUCUUGCAGUGGCAGUUUUUUUCUAUCCAUCAGGGAGUGGGAUCCUGCAUCCAGAGUAUGUAAAUAACAGCUGUUUCCACUCAAUUUGCAUUUAUAUACUUAACACUUCAAAAUAGAUUAUUUCUAGAAGCUUUCACAAUCUGGUCACAAUUCCUACUUAGUCAGAGGUACUGGGGAGAUGUUAAUGAAACCCCUCUGGACUAGCUGAGGAAAAAAAAAGAUAUAGCUGCAACAAAGAAAUUCCCCAGGCAGGAUGGAUCAGUUACGCCUCUGAUGGUUGUACUUCAACAAGGAAAGGAAGGAUCUCUUUCCAUCUCCUUGGGCAUCUUCAGCAUCAUUUCUAAGCAGGUGAUGGUGUGCCAGAAGAAAAAUACUUUUAUGUUUACUUCAGUCCCAGCUGGGGCAUCUCUGGACUGGAUCGGAUGAUGCUGAAGGCUCGAGUUGUUUGGAGAGAACUACGAUUAUGUGUGUGAGUUGUUGCUUUUGCAUGUCUCGACAGGCCUGUACCAGAGCCAUUUAAACUAAGUAGGAAGAACAAAGACAAUCUGAGCCCAGGUUGUCUGUAAAAACAACAUGGGUUCCAGCUACCUGGUUUCAGAGGGCAUGUUUGUGUUUCUAAAUGUACAAAACUUCCUGAUACCAGGAGGACUGACUUAUAUUUGUGAUGGCUGGGGCUAGUUCCCUCUAGAGAGGACUCCCACUUCCACACCCCUCCACACUCCUUGGGCUCCCCGUGGUGCCUCCACAGACCCAGCAAGUAAUUAUGAUUUUUUGUGUAUCUUUUCAGUUCAAAGCAUCUGAAAUGAUGUGCAGCUGUCCUGUGGCCUGCUAUAACGGUGCUUUCCUAGAGUGAAAGCUAAGGUAGGUAGUGUAUGUUCUGGGAUGUGGUUAGGCUUGAGGGUGCACGGCCCGCUUGGGUAGCCUGGAAGACAGCACAGAGUGGAGUGAAACAAGACGUGGCCUUGGGACUCUCCCUGCAAGGGUGUGCGGCCUUAAAGAGGGCUGAAAGAGAACUGGGGAAGAAGUGAGGGUGAGCAGUGGCACAGAGCUUGACCCGCAGCCCACGGCAGUAAGGACGUGCUCAGAGGGGCCCAAGGUAUCGGCCUGCUGCACUGUGCCUUUACUCUGGUAAAGGAAAGGGAGUUUUAUAAAGAUACAAGGCAUUAUUGGAAAAUGACAAGUGAAUUCAUACUCAAAGUCAGGAUUAAAAAUUACAAAAUAACCAAAAAUAUGAAAAGAGAUGUGAACCUUUACAAUACUGUAUACUAGCAUAAACAAAUUGUAAAAUAAUUAGAUUUCAAGGAAAAUUUUCUCUGCCAUUAGCUUAUUUUUUUAACUGAAAGCCUCAAAGCAUCUUAACUGAAGUAGGAGUUGAAGAGCAGUGCUGCAGCACAGCUCUUUUCCAGUACAACUCCUACAGAUCCUGACCAGAAAAAUGCGUGUGCUGAAUAGAAACAUUACAUUUACUUGAAUAUUUGAGUAAUGAGAAAGGCUAGCAGUGUUUAAGAAGCACUAGUCUUUACAUGAAACUGUAAAGCUCUGCUUUAGUGAGUAGGAAAUAUGUCUGUACAGCAGGGCUUUGCUUUAAUGGUUUAGACUUUUACUUAGGCUUCUAUUCUACAGGAUAAUGGCUUAAUAGAGUAGCCUAAUCUAACACAGCCACUUUUCAUUGUUCAUUUGAAUUUUCUGUGAUACUUACAUGGUUAAACUUCUAUUAGUUUUGGCAGAAGAGAUUACAAAAAUCAGCUCGUCCAGAAUUCUUUUUCUAUGACAUCUCAUUUCGCUGGUAGAAAGAUUCUUUCAUUGAGGAAUUGUAAACUUUGGUAGCAGUCAAAACUGGCAUCGUUUAAAAUAGUAAACUGGGUCUGAUCCAAGACCGUUGUUUCAUCUUGACAAGCAAUAAAGCUGAGUGUAAGCACAA
Oxyura jamaicensis (ruddy duck) is the source of this 5159-nucleotide long non-coding RNA. RefSeq lists it as uncharacterized. The transcript is spliced from 2 exons. The record is from RefSeq and is a predicted model, not a curated record. NCBI's taxonomy places the organism in Eukaryota, Metazoa, Chordata, Aves, Anseriformes, Anatidae.